GUGCUCACUUCAGCAGCCCAUAUGCUAAAAUUGGAACAGUACAGAGAAGAUGAGCAUAGCCCUUCUGCAAGGAUAACACAGAUUCGUGAAGUGUUCCAUACUGUU
Molecule: small nuclear RNA, 105 nt
Organism: Cercocebus atys (sooty mangabey)
Lineage: Eukaryota; Metazoa; Chordata; Mammalia; Primates; Cercopithecidae
Source: Ensembl